ACAGCCCCGUACACAAAAAUGCACAUAUUGUGAGCUUGAUGAGUAGGGCGGGACACGUGGUAUCCUGUCUGAAUAUGGGGGGACCAUCCUCCAAGGCUAAAUACUCCUGACUGACCGAUAGUGAACCAGUACCGUGAGGGAAAGGCGAAAAGAACCCCGGCGAGGGGAGUGAAAAAGAACCUGAAACCGUGUACGUACAAGCAGUGGGAGCACGCUUAGGCGUGUGACUGCGUACCUUUUGUAUAAUGGGUCAGCGACUUAUAUUCUGUAGCAAGGUUAACCGAAUAGGGGAGCCGAAGGGAAACCGAGUCUUAACUGGGCGUUAAGUUGCAGGGUAUAGACCCGAAACCCGGUGAUCUAGCCAUGGGCAGGUUGAAGGUUGGGUAACACUAACUGGAGGACCGAACCGACUAAUGUUGAAAAAUUAGCGGAUGACUUGUGGCUGGGGGUGAAAGGCCAAUCAAACCGGGAGAUAGCUGGUUCUCCCCGAAAGCUAUUUAGGUAGCGCCUCGUGAAUUCAUCUCCGGGGGUAGAGCACUGUUUCGGCAAGGGGGUCAUCCCGACUUACCAACCCGAUGCAAACUGCGAAUACCGGAGAAUGUUAUCACGGGAGACACACGGCGGGUGCUAACGUCCGUCGUGAAGAGGGAAACAACCCAGACCGCCAGCUAAGGUCCCAAAGUCAUGGUUAAGUGGGAAACGAUGUGGGAAGGCCCAGACAGCCAGGAUGUUGGCUUAGAAGCAGCCAUCAUUUAAAGAAAGCGUAAUAGCUCACUGGUCGAGUCGGCCUGCGCGGAAGAUGUAACGGGGCUAAACCAUGCACCGAAGCUGCGGCAGCGACGCUUAUGCGUUGUUGGGUAGGGGAGCGUUCUGUAAGCCUGCGAAGGUGUGCUGUGAGGCAUGCUGGAGGUAUCAGAAGUGCGAAUGCUGACAUAAGUAACGAUAAAGCGGGUGAAAAGCCCGCUCGCCGGAAGACCAAGGGUUCCUGUCCAACGUUAAUCGGGGCAGGGUGAGUCGACCCCUAAGGCGAGGCCGAAAGGCGUAGUCGAUGGGAAACAGGUUAAUAUUCCUGUACUUGGUGUUACUGCGAAGGGGGGACGGAGAAGGCUAUGUUGGCCGGGCGACGGUUGUCCCGGUUUAAGCGUGUAGGCUGGUUUUCCAGGCAAAUCCGGAAAAUCAAGGCUGAGGCGUGAUGACGAGGCACUACGGUGCUGAAGCAACAAAUGCCCUGCUUCCAGGAAAAGCCUCUAAGCAUCAGGUAACAUCAAAUCGUACCCCAAACCGACACAGGUGGUCAGGUAGAGAAUACCAAGGCGCUUGAGAGAACUCGGGUGAAGGAACUAGGCAAAAUGGUGCCGUAACUUCGGGAGAAGGCACGCUGAUAUGUAGGUGAAGUCCCUUGCGGAUGGAGCUGAAAUCAGUCGAAGAUACCAGCUGGCUGCAACUGUUUAUUAAAAACACAGCACUGUGCAAACACGAAAGUGGACGUAUACGGUGUGACGCCUGCCCGGUGCCGGAAGGUUAAUUGAUGGGGUCAGCGCAAGCGAAGCUCUUGAUCGAAGCCCCGGUAAACGGCGGCCGUAACUAUAACGGUCCUAAGGUAGCGAAAUUCCUUGUCGGGUAAGUUCCGACCUGCACGAAUGGCGUAAUGAUGGCCAGGCUGUCUCCACCCGAGACUCAGUGAAAUUGAACUCGCUGUGAAGAUGCAGUGUACCCGCGGCAAGACGGAAAGACCCCGUGAACCUUUACUAUAGCUUGACACUGAACAUUGAGCCUUGAUGUGUAGGAUAGGUGGGAGGCUUUGAAGUGUGGACGCCAGUCUGCAUGGAGCCGGCCUUGAAAUACCACCCUUUAAUGUUUGAUGUUCUAACGUGGACCCGUGAUCCGGGUUGCGGACAGUGUCUGGUGGGUAGUUUGACUGGGGCGGUCUCCUCCUAAAGAGUAACGGAGGAGCACGAAGGUUGGCUAAUCCUGGUCGGACAUCAGGAGGUUAGUGCAAUGGCAUAAGCCAGCUUGACUGCGAGCGUGACGGCGCGAGCAGGUGCGAAAGCAGGUCAUAGUGAUCCGGUGGUUCUGAAUGGAAGGGCCAUCGCUCAACGGAUAAAAGGUACUCCGGGGAUAACAGGCUGAUACCGCCCAAGAGUUCAUAUCGACGGCGGUGUUUGGCACCUCGAUGUCGGCUCAUCACAUCCUGGGGCUGAAGUAGGUCCCAAGGGUAUGGCUGUUCGCCAUUUAAAGUGGUACGCGAGCUGGGUUUAGAACGUCGUGAGACAGUUCGGUCCCUAUCUGCCGUGGGCGCUGGAGAACUGAGGGGGGCUGCUCCUAGUACGAGAGGACCGGAGUGGACGCAUCACUGGUGUUCGGGUUGUCAUGCCAAUGGCACUGCCCGGUAGCUAAAUGCGGAAGAGAUAAGUGCUGAAAGCAUCUAAGCACGAAACUUGCCCCGAGAUGAGUUCUCCCUGACCCUUUAAGGGUCCUGAAGGAACGUUGAAGACGACGACGUUGAUAGGCCGGGUGUGUAAGCGCAGCGAUGCGUUGAGCUAACCGGUACUAAUGAACCGUGAGGCUUA
Molecule: ribosomal RNA, 2570 nt
Filed under: Shigella sonnei
Lineage: Bacteria; Pseudomonadati; Pseudomonadota; Gammaproteobacteria; Enterobacterales; Enterobacteriaceae
Description: partial 23S ribosomal RNA
Rfam family: Bacterial large subunit ribosomal RNA
Source: RNAcentral